GUUUAUGGCCAUACCACCCUGAACACACCCUAUCUCAUCUGGUCUCGGAAGCUAAGCAGGGUUAGGCCUGGUUAGUACUUGGAUGGGAGACAGAUCUUCAGAAGAGACUGCUCAGAGACAGGCAGUUUGGAGACA
Ribosomal RNA from Castor canadensis (American beaver), 135 nucleotides. NCBI's taxonomy places the organism in Eukaryota, Metazoa, Chordata, Mammalia, Rodentia, Castoridae. The record is from Ensembl.